RNAcentral lists this ribosomal RNA (280 nucleotides) under uncultured bacterium. RNAcentral describes it as "partial 16S ribosomal RNA". It matches the Rfam family "Bacterial small subunit ribosomal RNA", at positions 773 to 1060 of the family's 1533-position model. The record is from RNAcentral.
GUGGAUUAGAUACCCUGGUAGUCCACGCCGUAAACGAUGGAUACUAGCUGUUCGGGGCAACCUGAGUGGCUAAGCGAAAGUGAUAAGUAUCCCACCUGGGGAGUACGUUCGCAAGAAUGAAACUCAAAGGAAUUGACGGGGGCCCGCACAAGCGGUGGAGCAUGUGGUUUAAUUCGAUGAUACGCGAGGAACCUUACCAAGGCUUAAAUGUAGAUUGACAGGACUGGAAACAGUUUUUUCUUCGGACAAUUUACAAGGUGCUGCACGGUCGUCGACAGCU